RNAcentral lists this transfer RNA (72 nucleotides) under Collybiopsis luxurians FD-317 M1. Its description in RNAcentral is "tRNA-Glu (TTC) (tRNA-Glu-TTC-2-1)". It matches the Rfam family "tRNA". Rfam says of the family: Transfer RNA (tRNA) molecules are approximately 80 nucleotides in length. Their secondary structure includes four short double-helical elements and three loops (D, anti-codon, and T loops). Further hydrogen bonds mediate the characteristic L-shaped molecular structure. tRNAs have two regions of fundamental functional importance: the anti-codon, which is responsible for specific mRNA codon recognition, and the 3' end, to which the tRNAs corresponding amino acid is attached (by aminoacyl-tRNA synthetases). tRNAs cope with the degeneracy of the genetic code in two manners: having more than one tRNA (with a specific anti-codon) for a particular amino acid; and 'wobble' base-pairing, i.e. permitting non-standard base-pairing at the 3rd anti-codon position. The record is from RNAcentral. Lineage: Eukaryota; Fungi; Basidiomycota; Agaricomycetes; Agaricales; Omphalotaceae.
UCCAAUGUGGUGUAGUGGCUAACAUUGCUGUCUUUCACACAGUAGCCCGGGGUUCGAUUCCCCGCAUUGGAA